UCCAAUGAUGAUAUAAUCCGUUUGUCUGAGACAUUGUGGAUCCAAGACCCUGUUUCAGGGAGAACCUACUUGGUGAAGCCUUGUUCAUAUGAUAUCAAUGGAUUUAACUGAGGG
Molecule: small nucleolar RNA, 114 nt
Organism: Cucurbita maxima (winter squash)
Lineage: Eukaryota; Viridiplantae; Streptophyta; Magnoliopsida; Cucurbitales; Cucurbitaceae
Product: small nucleolar RNA Z278
Exons: 1
Source: RefSeq, a predicted model, not a curated record